This 444-nucleotide ribosomal RNA is filed under the name uncultured bacterium. RNAcentral describes it as "bacterial SSU rRNA". It matches the Rfam family "Bacterial small subunit ribosomal RNA", at positions 331 to 793 of the family's 1533-position model. The record is from RNAcentral.
CCAGACUCCUACGGGAGGCAGCAGUGGGGGAUAUUGCACAAUGGGGGGAACCCUGAUGCAGCGACGCCGCGUGGGUGAAGAAGCGCCUCGGCGCGUAAAGCCCUGUCAGCAGGGAAGAAAAUGACGGUACCUGACUAAGAAGCCCCGGCUAACUACGUGCCAGCAGCCGCGGUAAUACGUAGGGGGCAAGCGUUAUCCGGAUUCACUGGGUGUAAAGGGAGCGUAGGCGGGGAUGCAAGUUGGGUGUUAAAUCUACCGGCUCAACUGGUAGUCGCACUCAAAACUGCAGCUCUUGAGUGAAGUAGAGGCAGGCGGAAUUCCUAGUGUAGCGGUGAAAUGCGUAGAUAUUAGGAGGAACACCAGUGGCGAAGGCGGCCUGCUGGGCUUUUACUGACGCUGAGGCUCGAAAGUGUGGGGAGCAAACAGGAUUAGAUACCCUCGUAU